Molecule: ribosomal RNA, 1443 nt
Filed under: metagenome
Description: bacterial LSU rRNA
Rfam family: Bacterial large subunit ribosomal RNA
Source: RNAcentral
GGAGUGACGGAGAAGGCUAAGUUGAGCGUGUUAAUGGAUUCACGUGUAAGCAGUGAGGUGGUCAUGUAGGCAAAUCCGCAUGGCAUAACAUUGAGCUGUGAUGCCGAAGCCGUAUGGCGAAGUCAACUGAUGUCACGCUUCCAAGAAAAGCUUCUAGGGUUAAUUUAGUAAGUGCCCGUACCGAUAACCGACACAGGUAGGCGAGGAGAGAAUCCUAAGAUGAGCGAGAGAACUCUUGUUAAGGAACUCGGCAAAAUGACCCCGUAACUUCGGGAGAAGGGGUGCUUGUGAAAGCAGGCCGCAGUGAAUAGGCCCAGGCGACUGUUUAUCAAAAACACAGGUCUCUGCUAAACCGCAAGGUGAUGUAUAGGGGCUGACGCCUGCCCGGUGCUGGAAGGUUAAGAGGAGAGGUUAGCGCAAGCGAAGCUUUGAAUUGAAGCCCCAGUAAACGGCGGCCGUAACGAUAACGGUCCUAAGGUAGCGAAAUUCCUUGUCGGGUAAGUUCCGACCCGCACGAAAGGCGUAACGAUCUGGGCGCUGUCUCAACAAGAGACUCGGUGAAAUCAUAGUACCUGUGAAGAUGCAGGUUACCCGCGACAGGACGGAAAGACCCCGUGGAGCUUUACUGUAGCUUGAUAUUGAGCACUGGUGACACAUGUACAGGAUAGGUAGGAGACGAAGAAGCCAGGACGCCAGUCUUGGUGGAGUCGCUGUUGGGAUACUACCCUUGUGUUACUGGGGUUCUAACCCGUGGCCAUGAUCUGGUCAGGGAACAGUGUCAGGUGGGCAGUUUGACUGGGGCGGUCGCCUCCCAAAGAGUAACGGAGGCGCCCAAAGGUUCCCUCAGAAUGGUUGGAAAUCAUUCGAAGAGUGUAAAGGCAGAAGGGAGCUUGACUGCGAGACCUACAAGUCGAGCAGGGACGAAAGUCGGGCUUAGUGAUCCGGCGGUACCGAAUGGAAGGGCCGUCGCUCAACGGAUAAAAGCUACCCCGGGGAUAACAGGCUGAUCUCCCCCAAGAGUUCACAUCGACGGGGAGGUUUGGCACCUCGAUGUCGGCUCAUCGCAUCCUGGGGCUGUAGUCGGUCCCAAGGGUUGGGCUGUUCGCCCAUUAAAGCGGUACGCGAGCUGGGUUCAGGACGUCGUGAGACAGUUCGGUCCCUAUCCGUCGUGGGCGUAGGAAAUUUGAGAGGAGCUGUCCUUAGUACGAGAGGACCGGGAUGGACACACCGCUGGUGUACCAGUUGUUCUGCCAGGAGCAUAGCUGGGUAGCUACGUGUGGACGGGAUAAACGCUGAAAGCAUCUAAGCGUGAAGCCCCCCUCAAGAUGAGAUUUCCCAUUCGAAAGAAGUAAGAUCCCUUGAAGACGACAAGGUAGAUAGGUCAGAAGUGGAAGUGUGGUGACACAUGGAGCGGACUGAUACUAAUCGAUCGAGGACUUAAUC